AAAGUCGUAACAAGGUUUCCGUAGGUGAACCUGCGGAAGGAUCAUUCGUAAUAAAGUGUUUAUGGCACUUUAAAUCCAUAUCCACCUUGUGUGCAAUGUCAAGCCUGACCACAUCCAGCUCUUCUGAUGGGAGUGAGAAGGGUUUCAUUAUCCACGUUCUUUUUUUUUUUAGUCUACAUUCUUUGAGUAAACGAACUCAAAUACAACUUUCAACAACGGAUCUCUUGGCUCUC
RNAcentral lists this unclassified non-coding RNA (233 nucleotides) under Mucoromycotina sp. RNAcentral's name for it is "partial contains small subunit ribosomal RNA, internal transcribed spacer 1, and 5.8S ribosomal RNA". The stretch from base 1 to 47 matches the Rfam family "Eukaryotic small subunit ribosomal RNA", at positions 1785 to 1831 of the family's 1831-position model. The record is from RNAcentral. Lineage: Eukaryota; Fungi; Mucoromycota.